This 403-nucleotide ribosomal RNA is filed under the name uncultured bacterium. RNAcentral's name for it is "partial 16S ribosomal RNA". It matches the Rfam family "Bacterial small subunit ribosomal RNA", at positions 30 to 526 of the family's 1533-position model. The record is from RNAcentral.
AUUGAACGCUGGCGGCAGGCCUAACACAUGCAAGUCGAGCGAGCGGCGGACGGGUGAGUAAUGUAUGGGGACUGCCCGAUAGAGGGGGAUAACUACUGGAAACGGUAGCUAAUCCCGCAUACUAUCGGAUAACCCAUAUGGGAUUAGCUAGUAGGUGAGGUAAUGGCUCACGAAGGCGACGAUCCCUAGCUGGUCUGAGAGGAUGAUCAGCAACACUGGAACUGAGACACGGCCCAGACUCCUACGGAGGCAGCAGUGGGGAAUAUUGAACAAUGGGGGAAAGCCUGAUGCAGCCAUGCCGCGUGUGUGAAGAAGGCCCUAGGGUUGUAAAGUACUUUCAGUCGGGAGGCGUUACCGACAGAAGAAGCACCGGCUAACUCCGUGCCAGCAGCCGCGGUAAUAC